Rattus norvegicus (Norway rat) is the source of this 3320-nucleotide non-coding RNA. The record is from RefSeq and is a predicted model, not a curated record. Lineage: Eukaryota; Metazoa; Chordata; Mammalia; Rodentia; Muridae.
AGGCUAGGGAUUUCUUGAUAGAGUAGUGAAGUCAUAUAUUUGUCCAAUCUAAGCGUGCAUCUUAUGAUUGUAUUAUUGAGUUGUGUGAUCUUUGCAUGGGCAUUUUGGGGUUGGAAAUUUACCACUAUAAAUUUAGCAGGUAUAAUAAAAGUCUCCAGUGUUUUCAUUUCACAGGGCUCAGGGGAGUUGAGUGAGUGGUUGCGGACAUUCUGUAGGCCAGCCACAGCGGGUGGCUUAAGAAAUUCCAGCAGCAGCUCCAGAUUAAACUGGUUUGGUUAGCUUAAGCAAGCUAGCCCUGGGAACAGGGCAAAAGGCCGCUUAGAGCUAGCCAUGGUGGGAGGAGUGUGUGAGGGGGAGGGUAGGCAAACCCUCCUGAUGCUGGUGAUAGCGGGAUUUAGCAUGGCUUUUUUUUUUUUUAAUAACUAGAUGCUACCACUAAGUAUUUAGGAAUGUGGAUCUAAGGAGGAGAAUAGCUGAGCUCUGCCUAGGACCAAUCUUCAAGACUAGAGUGAUGCUGAUCUGAAAAGAAUGAUUUUGUGAAAAUUGGAAAACCAUUGCUCUUAAGAGAACAAGUACUGGGCCUUUCUUCCUGGCAGGCUGUUCUGGAGCAGCUUUGAAAGUGCUCUAAAGAAGAAAUGUCAGUGUCUGGUUUAUAGUGGCAGUGGGUGGGUGGAAAUCAAGCAUGUGGAGACGGAGUCCUGUCACCUUGUUGUGGAGAGGCAGGAGGAUGCCCCAGGCAAUGGGAGUACAUUGGCUGUGGCUUUAUAAAAUUUCUCUCCUACUGUUUCUUCCUCUCUCAGUAUGGUUUUUUUUCUUCUAAACACCAAGGACAAGAGUCCUGAUUUCUGCCUCCUGACCUACCCAGAGCACAGCAGAUCGACAUCUAUGAUGGUCUGUCUGGAAGCGGUACCGAAGAGAUCAAGGGCAGCAGCGGUGUGGAUGACGACGGAGAUGCCCUGGCACGCUCUCCUCAGGAACUGGGCAUCCACAAUGUCUCCCUUCAGUACCAUCACCUUGGCUUUUGUCUGCAGCUCUGUGGACACAAAGCAGGUCGGUGGGAAGCUUUCGGCAUGGGAUGGAAAUUUCCUGACACGGGUGUCAGUCACCUAGACCCUCAAAGGCAGUCAUGUGGAGGAUGCCUUUCUACUGAAGGAAGCAUAAACACUCAAAAAACCAGAAUGUAGCAUUUGUAGGGAAAGAAGCAUCUAUUUCCAUCCCAGCCCUUUGUAGAAAAUGCAUCUGAGCAGUAAGAUGCCAUUCGUGCUUUGCACACGAACAGAGAAUUAUGGGAAAUUCCUACAUUCAUUAAAGCAGCUGGAGGGGUGGUGGUUAAUGAGAUUGUGUCCCCCAGAGUUCCAGUGAGGAGGACCCAGAACAGGGAGACACAAAGAUGGGAAUUUCAAAGGCUAAUAUGUUUUGAAACUUUCUGAAGAACUAGCUGGAUAGAUGAAAGGAAAAGGGGGCCCCUGUGAGAGAACUCAGAAUGGGCUCCAGUGGUUGGUUUUACGUGAGUAAUCCUUGUCAGAUUGAUAAUGUAAAUGAGAGGCAACCUCACCCAGACCACAUAUCCAAGGGCAAUGGAUGCAUCGGUAUCUUUGGGUUCCCCUGAAAUCUAUUGAAUGAUACUGCUAAUCACAAUGUCACCCAAAUUAGCUCACAAAGUUAACAUGUAUCCACGCAGCCUGUACACUCCCCACACUGGCUGGAGCUUCGGAUUUUGCACAUGAUUUUCUUAAUUUUCUCUUUCCUUUCCCAGCUACCUCAUGCUAUCUGGGAUUCUGAUGUCCCUAGUAUAGGUUGGGGAAGCACAGAAAGCUCCAGAACAUGCCUCAGGACAUACAGCUGCCUACUGGAGACUCCAUUGUUACUCUGCUUCCUUCCAAUCCUGCUCACUUCUCUAUGAACUCAGUCCGAGGCUGGCUGGGAUCAACUCUUGCGAGACAGUUAGCUCAGCUGAACUUACAGUGCAGCUAAAGAAUAGCUUGACAGAGGCUGAAGUAGAAAUCUAGAGCAGGAGAAAUCCCUCUUGGGACAGAUGAAAACCUCUGUUGGAUCUAUCUACUCUAGGCCCCCUUCCCCUGUCAGGCAACCCCAAGAAGGCCUUGAAGUAGAGAAGGGUGGGUGUUUUAGUUAGGGUUUCUAUUGCAAUCAAAUGACAGUAUGACCAGGGGAACUCUCAUAAGGGAAACAUUUAAUUGGAGCUGGCUUAGUUUCAGAGGGUGUGUCCAUUACCAUCAUGGUAUCAUGCAGAGCCCAGGCCUGGCUACUUUGCAUCAACUCUUCUGAUGCUAUGACCAGGAAAAUCCUCACAAAAGAAAACAUUUAAUCGGAGCUGGCUUAGUUUCAGAGGGUUUAUCCGUUAUCAUCAUAGUGGCGUGCGGGCAGACAUGGCACUGGCAGAGCCUUGAGUUCUACACCUUAAUCCUCAGGCAGCAGAUGGAGACUGCCUUCCGCACCGGGCACAGCUUGAGCAUAGAUGAACUCCAAUCGUGCCCUACAGUGAUAUACUUCCCCUAGCAAGGCCAUACCUCCAAAGCCAAGUUUUCAAACACAUGAAUCCAUGGGGACUCUUUCUAUUCAAACCACCACCAUGGGAAAAAGGCUCCUGGGAAGGGAGCAGGUGCUAGGAUAAGAGUCUCCUUCUGUCUGCUCUUUCCUCUGCUUUCCUGUGAGCUGACUUAUACAGACUGGGGCGAAGGAGUAGCUGUGCCAUGACACGUGGUACCCAGGUGGAGUAUAGCGGACUAACUUCACACUUCCGUUCUUUGGUGGUCCUGGGAUACCCGGCCAUCUUAAGUGCUUUCUGGUAGAGCCACAGCUCUCACCUUGUUCACGACACCGUGGACUUGACAGUUGUUCUUCCCUGCCUUGUCAUGGAGGUGAUGUCAUGCUGUGGUCUGAAGGAGAAGGAGAUCCAGAGAGAAGCUCACACUCAGCAGCCUUUCAAAGGACAAAAGGUUCCUGCUCUGUUUGAGUUCCUGUCCUGGUUUCCAUCCUUGUUGAAGAGUGAUGAAGAAGCUCAAACCAAAUAAACCCUUUCCUCCCCUCAUUGUUUUGGUCAUGGUGUUUCAUCGCAGACAUAGAAAGUACCCCUAGCUAAGAUACAUUCUUUGUGUCAACUAUUUCUUUUUGUCUGCUUGCUUUGAGACAGGGUGCCUAGGUUAUUUCUGAGGAUGCUAAAAUACAAACCAUUAGACAGAAAUUUAAGGUUUCUAUAUUUUGGCAUUUUGAUGGAUGAAACAAAGUGAAGCAACCAAGUAUGUGAAGAAACUGUGACUUACAUAGUAAAGAUUUAUAAGGGAAUAUAUAAAAUAAGAAAA